Molecule: non-coding RNA, 1051 nt
Organism: Plectropomus leopardus (leopard coralgrouper)
Lineage: Eukaryota; Metazoa; Chordata; Actinopteri; Perciformes; Serranidae
Source: RefSeq, a predicted model, not a curated record
AAUAUUGUGCCCUGAGGAGCUGAUUGACUUUUCUGACCCAGUAUACCUUCCAAAUCAAUAAAAGGACCUCGUAAUUUUUUAAACAGUCCUGUUUUUUGACAAGUACUUUUAAUACAUUCUGCUGUUAAUAUUUUAACUUUUACUGCAGUAUUAGUACUUCUUCCAAAGCGAGGUACUAUAGACAGUGCCGCUGAGGGCGCGUUAGAGAGUGCGUGUGAUGCAGAUUGUCACGGCCAGCUCAGCGAGGUUGCAUAACAUCCUUACUCCAAAUGCCAAGGCUUUUAGCAGCUGAAUUAUGCUCAUUGUGUUCGCUCCACAUCGCGCUCACAGUCUGAUUUAAAGCACCUUGUUGAUUAAAAAUCCGCUGCGUGCGUCUAAUAACCGAGGCAGGGUGGUUUUGGGGGUUUUUCUAACAUGUAGGAUUCAUGUGAGGAGCCCUCGAGCUUUCUACAAGGAGCUUUGUUGUUUUCAUCACCGCCUCCCUGCCUGGCAGAGUAAGGAGGUUAUUGAUUUUCUGCCCCGGCUCGCUUUGAUUCAUAUCAGGCUGAGCACAGACGAUAUUUUAUUCAGAGGGAUUUGUAAUGCUUUUGUUCAUCUGGUGACUUACACGCUCAAGAUCAACUCUCUGAGCUGUUUUUACUUACAUUUCAUGAUAAUAGCAGCUCUUGAUCUCUUGAAUUAGUGCUCAUUAGAGGCCCCGAGGUUAGGCUGUGUGUGUUAUGUUUGUCCGCAGCUCCGCCUGGUGGUCCUCCGCAGUACAACGCCAUCUUCGGCAGCAGGCUCUCGUCCAGCUCCACUCCUGCCAGCUCCCCCGGUGUCGAUACAGUCUCCAGCUCCCAAACCUUUGCAAAUUUCCCAAACCCAUUCAGCUCCGGAUCCAGCUCGGCCUCCCAGCAGCCUGUUGCCCUCUCCCCCAGUAACCCCUUCAGCAACGCAUCGGGAGGUGAGAGUCAUGUUCAGGGUCCUCAGUAGAGCCCAAAAAUGGAUUUAGGAUUUUAGGGCCGAUACUGAUUUUAGGGAGUAAAAUAAUCCAAAUAUUGAUAUACCAGCC